CAGCAGCCACGGUAAUACGUAGGUGGCAAGCGUUAUCCGGAAUUAUUGGGCGUAAAGCGCGCGUAGGCGGUUUCUUAAGUCUGAUGUGAAAGCCCACGGCUCAACCGUGGAGGGUCAUUGGAAACUGGGAAACUUGAGUGCAGAAGAGGAAAGUGGAAUUCCAUGUGUAGCGGUGAAAUGCGCAGAGAUAUGGAGGAACACCAGUGGCGAAGGCGACUUUCUGGUCUGUAACUGACGCUGAUGUGCGAAAGCGUGGGGAUCAAACAGGAUUAGAUACCCCGGUAGUCCCUGUCUCUUAUAC
RNAcentral lists this ribosomal RNA (301 nucleotides) under uncultured bacterium. RNAcentral describes it as "partial 16S ribosomal RNA". It matches the Rfam family "Bacterial small subunit ribosomal RNA", at positions 509 to 807 of the family's 1533-position model. The record is from RNAcentral.